GUAACAGCAGGGGACCCAGCCUUCUUGAGAGAUCCCAGUUCGACUCGAUCUGGUCCGGACGCGCCACCUGCAUAAGGAAGUCGCCUGUGGGCUGCACAUUUAUGUGAAGAAACUGAUAAGAAGGAGAAAGAGGCACACCUGUCUGACCACCGGUUAUCGCACCUUUCGGAUACUCGACAAUCACCGU
Molecule: long non-coding RNA, 187 nt
Organism: Dermacentor albipictus
Lineage: Eukaryota; Metazoa; Arthropoda; Arachnida; Ixodida; Ixodidae
Source: RefSeq, a predicted model, not a curated record